GAAACUGGUGCUAAUACCGGAUACCCUUCUUUUCUGUUGGGUUAAGGAGGAAAGGUGGCCUCUUCAUGAAAGCUACCGUAUAGGGAUGAGCCUGCGUACCAUUAGCUAGUAGGUGGGGUAACGGCCCACCUAGGCGACGAUGGUUAGCGGGUCUGAGAGGAUGAUCCGCCACACUGGAACUGGAACACGGACCAGACUCCUACGGGAGGCAGCAGUGAGGAAUAUUGCGCAAUGGGGGAAACCCUGACGCAGCGACGCCGCGUGAGUGAGGAAGGUCUUCGGAUCGUAAAGCUCUGUCAGAAGGGAAGAAGUGUUAUAUGGUUAAUACCCAUAUAAUUUGACGGUACCUUCAGAGGAAGCACCGGCUAACUCCGUGCCAGCAGCCGCGGUAAUACGGAGGGUGCGAGCGUUGUUCGGAAUUACUGGGCGUAAAGGGCGCGUAGGCGGCCGGAUAUGUCAGGUGUGAAGUCCCGGCUCACCGUGGAAGUGCAUUUGAACUGUCCGC
This 505-nucleotide ribosomal RNA is filed under the name uncultured bacterium. RNAcentral's name for it is "bacterial SSU rRNA". It matches the Rfam family "Bacterial small subunit ribosomal RNA", at positions 153 to 640 of the family's 1533-position model. The record is from RNAcentral.